Small nucleolar RNA from Cercocebus atys (sooty mangabey), 72 nucleotides. Ensembl annotates it as small nucleolar RNA, C/D box 114-18. Its record names the gene SNORD114-18. The record is from Ensembl. NCBI's taxonomy places the organism in Eukaryota, Metazoa, Chordata, Mammalia, Primates, Cercopithecidae.
UAGAUCAAUGAUGACUACUGGUGGCGUAUGAGUCAUAUACGAUGAAUACGCGUCUAGAACUCUGAGAUCCAA